This is a long non-coding RNA of Leptidea sinapis, 899 nucleotides long. RefSeq lists it as uncharacterized. NCBI's taxonomy places the organism in Eukaryota, Metazoa, Arthropoda, Insecta, Lepidoptera, Pieridae. The record is from RefSeq and is a predicted model, not a curated record. The transcript is spliced from 3 exons.
AGUCAUAAGUUUUCAAUAGCUGCUGAAGUGAGCGCGGGAUGUCUUCAGCAUUCUUAUAAAUAUCCAAGAGGCAGUCUAUCAGUAUAAAUCUUUGAAGAUUAUAUUGGGGACAGUCAAAGAAAAUGUGAUCAAGAGUUUGGAUGGAUAAAUUACAGAAUUGACAAGUUGGAGAAUCUAAAACACCGAUCCUAAAUAAAUGAGCACAACUACGAGAAUGUCCCAGACGUAACCGACAAAUUGUGGUGUAAAAUUUUCUGUGGACAUUUAAAGAUAGAAGAAUGGAUGAUAAUUGUUCUAAAUCAACUUAUUAUUAUUAAAUGCUCCUACAACAUCCAAAAAAACUCCAGCCAAUAUCUUAUUGUCAAUCUGGGCACUAUGGAUGUCAAGACAUAAAUGCCGUAGACUCUCACAAGCAGAACGACCACAUCGAAAUCCAAAUUGAUUAUUAGAUUACUGUGUGGAGGAAUGUUGGAUGAAAAUGAAGAAGAUUCAGUUUCCGACACUACCAUGGAAAAUUUUGUGAUUGUAGGCAAAUGAUAGCUGCCCAAAGAGUCCUGAUGAACUUGCCAUUCACAGCACAGGAAUAAUGAAGAUGAUACUAUUGUUAGAUCUAGUCCAUUUGGUCUCCAAGAAUUAGUACCCACUGUAGUUGAUUGAUCAUUAUUUAAGAGCAUUAAGUCAUUAUCGUCAAUUACAUCCAUGAUGCCCCUUCCUCUAGAAUUGGUUCUAUUACAACCCCAAAUGGUAUGGUGAGCAUUAAAAUCACCAGCAAUUAUUAGUGGUUUUGGAAUACUAUGCAACAGUCUAUUAAAUUUAGAUUUGUCAAAGUUAGGUACACUGUUGCCAGGACUAUAAAAGCUAACAAUUGAGAUGUCUUUUUGUUUGUAUUUAAUUUUGAU